CAGUCGCCGCGGUAAUACGAAGGGUGCAAGCGUUAUCCGGAAUGAUUGGGCGUAAAGCGUGCGUAGGUGGUGGUUUAAGUCCGUUGUGAAAGCCCUGGGCUCAACCUGGGAAUUGCAGUGGAUACUGGGUCACUAGAGUGUGGUAGAGGAUAGUGGAAUUUCCGGUGUAGCAGUGAAAUGCGUAGAGAUCGGAAGGAACAUCUGUGGCGAAGGCGACUAUCUGGGCCAACACUGACACUGAGGCACGAAAGCGUGGGGAGCAAACAGGAUUAGAUACCCCUGUAGUCCCUGUCUCUUAUAC
Molecule: ribosomal RNA, 301 nt
Filed under: uncultured bacterium
Lineage: Bacteria
Description: partial 16S ribosomal RNA
Rfam family: Bacterial small subunit ribosomal RNA
Source: RNAcentral